UACGUAGGGUGCAAGCGUUGUCCGGAAUUAUUGGGCGUAAAGAGCUCGUAGGCGGCUUGUCGCGUCUGCUGUGAAAACCCGAGGCUCAACCUCGGGCCUGCAGUGGGUACGGGCAAGCUAGAGUGCGGUAGGGGAGAUUGGAAUUCCUGGUGUAGCGGUGGAAUGCGCAGAUAUCAGGAGGAACACCGAUGGCGGAGGCAGAUCUCUGGGCCGUAACUGACGCUGAGGAGCGAAAGCAUGGGGAGCGAACAGG
This 253-nucleotide ribosomal RNA is filed under the name uncultured bacterium. Its description in RNAcentral is "partial 16S ribosomal RNA". It matches the Rfam family "Bacterial small subunit ribosomal RNA", at positions 524 to 776 of the family's 1533-position model. The record is from RNAcentral.